RNAcentral lists this long non-coding RNA (1257 nucleotides) under Elaeis guineensis (African oil palm). Its description in RNAcentral is "long non-coding RNA (EGUI_LNC006392)". Lineage: Eukaryota; Viridiplantae; Streptophyta; Magnoliopsida; Arecales; Arecaceae. The record is from RNAcentral.
UGAAGGCUUCAUUAGGGAUUCGGCCUUUGGAAGGUCAGCUUCGAAAGGUCAGUCCUCAGACGAGGUCGGCCUCCCAUCUGAUGAAACUAGGAGAGUCUCUGACUUGAUCUACCAUUUGUGAUACUUUAGUCCGACCGAUACGGAUGGCCAAUCAAGUUUUUUAUGAGAGGCUUAGCCGCACUUUACGUUGUGAGCCUUAAGAAAGUUGGGCUCAACGACAUCUUUGCUCCAUCGACUUAAGGGUUUCAUCAUCACACCUCAGAUCCAGUGGAGGCUACCUCUGGUGUUAUCAGUACUCCUGUCAUUACACCUCGAAUUUUGUCGAGGUGACCCAUGUCUUGUCAAUGAUUUUGACCACACUGCACCUCGAAAUCCAUCGAGAUGACUUGGGGCCUUCACGAGGGUCUUUGUUGUAGGCCAUUCCAUCACAGAGGAGCGUUGUGGUUUGUAGCACCUCAAAUCUCACCGAGGUGACUUUGGUCCUUGACCAAGGGUUGUUGUCGUCACACCUCGAACUUAAUCAAGAUGAUCUCUAAUUCAACCAAGGGUUAAGUCUCCGAUAGUUAGAGUGUUUAAUGCAAAAUUAUAGGAAAGAAAAAAUAUUUAUUUAUAAGGCAUUCCUAUUGAUAAUACAUCUAUAGAUUCUUGACGUUCUAGAUCUCAAGAAUCUUUGUGCCAUCCAGGCUCUCGAUCUUGUAUGCUCUAGAUUGUAGAACCACUGAAAUCUUAUAGAGACCUUCUCAAUUUGGGGAUAACUUUUCUUGCUCGAUCGGUUUGGAGAUUUUAGCUCUCCUAAGGAUUAGGUCUCCAGCUUGAAAGAUUUUGGACUUGAUUUGAGAGUUGUAAUACCGAGCUAUCCUUUACUGAUAAGAAACUGUUCUAAGUUAGGCUCGUCUUUGGAUCUCAUCGAGCAAGUCCAAAUCAGCUCGUCGCUUGUCCGAAUUGGUUCGUUCGUCGUAAUGCUCCACUCAAGUCGAAGAUAGGUCGAUUUCAAUCGAGAUCACAGCUUCCAUCUCAAAAGUUAGUUUGAAGGGGAUUUCUUCAGUCAAGAUCCAAGGAGUUAUUUGGUCAGACUAUAGGACACUAGGGAUUUCAUCAGUCCAACAUUCUUUGGUUUGAUCGAUUCUUAUCUUCAGGCUUUGUAGAAUUGUCCUAUUGGUCACCUUAGCUUCUUCAUUAGAUUGCGGGUGCCUGACCAAGAUAAAUUUAUAGAUGAUGUGGUACUUUAUGUAGAAUUCUUCAAUUCUGAUAUUGUCG